RNAcentral lists this unclassified non-coding RNA (289 nucleotides) under Hevea brasiliensis (rubber tree). Lineage: Eukaryota; Viridiplantae; Streptophyta; Magnoliopsida; Malpighiales; Euphorbiaceae. The record is from RNAcentral.
AUCAGAUUCUUGAACCCUUUUCUUGCCAAAAGAAGGCAUGCCCGAAGAUGAGUGCAAAGCCUCAAAAGGACCGUUCAAAAAGGAAACAUUUGAAACAGGAUGGGUAGGCCUAAGUGGAUCAGAGUUGUCAAGAAAAUCGAACCCAGGACCCGAGUUUAAUCUGAGAACAGUGGCAGGAGGUGGCACAGGAGAGUCAUAUAGAGCAGGGUCUCCUUGAGCAUGGGCAGAGACUCUUCUUGUCGGUGGAUCUUUGCGAAAGGGUCUAGCAAAGAAGUCUUGAAGAAUAAAG